GAUGAACGCUAGCGACAGGCCUAACACAUGCAAGUCGAGGGGCAGCAUUACCGCUUGCGGUAGAUGGCGACCGGCGCACGGGUGAGUAACGCGUAUGCAACCUGCCUUACACAGGGGGAUAGCCCGGAGAAAUCCGGAUUAAUACCGCAUAACAAUCACAUUUCGCAUGGGAAGUGAUUUAAACCUACGGGGGUGUAAGAUGGGCAUGCGUAGCAUUAGUUAGUUGGUGAGGUAGAGGCUCACCAAGACGAUGAUGCUUAGGGGGUCUGAGAGGAUAGUCCCCCACACUGGUACUGAGACACGGACCAGACUCCUACGGGAGGCAGCAGUGAGGAAUAUUGGUCAAUGGACGCAAGUCUGAACCAGCCAUGUCGCGUGCAGGAUGACGGCCCUACGGGUUUGUAAACUGCUUUUCGGGAAUAAUGUCAUCUACGUGUAGAUGUUUGAAGGUACC
Molecule: ribosomal RNA, 454 nt
Filed under: uncultured bacterium
Lineage: Bacteria
Description: bacterial SSU rRNA
Rfam family: Bacterial small subunit ribosomal RNA
Source: RNAcentral